This 404-nucleotide ribosomal RNA is filed under the name Brucella melitensis. RNAcentral's name for it is "partial 16S ribosomal RNA". It matches the Rfam family "Bacterial small subunit ribosomal RNA", at positions 355 to 776 of the family's 1533-position model. The record is from RNAcentral. Lineage: Bacteria; Pseudomonadati; Pseudomonadota; Alphaproteobacteria; Hyphomicrobiales; Brucellaceae. RNAcentral also lists the same sequence under 1 other name.
UGGGGAAUAUUGGACAAUGGGCGCAAGCCUGAUCCAGCCAUGCCGCGUGAGUGAUGAAGGCCCUAGGGUUGUAAAGCUCUUUCACCGGUGAAGAUAAUGACGGUAACCGGAGAAGAAGCCCCGGCUAACUUCGUGCCAGCAGCCGCGGUAAUACGAAGGGGGCUAGCGUUGUUCGGAUUUACUGGGCGUAAAGCGCACGUAGGCGGACUUUUAAGUCAGGGGUGAAAUCCCGGGGCUCAACCCCGGAACUGCCUUUGAUACUGGAAGUCUUGAGUAUGGUAGAGGUGAGUGGAAUUCCGAGUGUAGAGGUGAAAUUCGUAGAUAUUCGGAGGAACACCAGUGGCGAAGGCGGCGCACUGGACCAUUACUGACGCUGAGGUGCGAAAGCGUGGGGAGCAAACAGG